Molecule: ribosomal RNA, 253 nt
Filed under: uncultured bacterium
Lineage: Bacteria
Description: partial 16S ribosomal RNA
Rfam family: Bacterial small subunit ribosomal RNA
Source: RNAcentral
UACGUAGGGGGCUAGCGUUGUCCGGAAUCAUUGGGCGUAAAGAGCUCGUAGGCGGUCCGUCACGUCCGCUGUGAAAACCCAGGGCUCAACCCUGGGCUUGCAGUGGAUACGGGCAGACUAGAGGUAGGUAGGGGAGAAUGGAAUUCCCGGUGUAGCGGUGAAAUGCGCAGAUAUCAGGAGGAACACCGGUGGCGAAGGCGCCACUCUGGGCCGGUACUGACGCUGAGGAGCGAAAGCGUGGGGAGCAAACAGG